UAGGGAAUAUUGCACAAUGGAGGAAACUCUGAUGCAGCGACGCCGCGUGAGUGAUGAAGGCCUUCGGGUCGUAAAGCUCUGUCGCAAGGGAAUAACACAACGAAUGUACCUUGCAAGAAAGGAUCGUCUAACUUCGUGCCAGCAGCCGCGGUAAGACGAGGGAUCCUAGCGUUGUUCGGAAUUAUUGGGCGUAAAGCGGGUGUAGGUGGCUUUGUAAGUCAGGUGUGAAAGCCUAGGGCUCAACCCUAGAAGUGCAUUUGAUACUGCAAAGCUUGAGUGCUAGAGAGGUUACUAGAAUUGUUGGUGUAGUGGUGAAAUACGUAGAUAUCAACAGGAAUACCGGUGGCGAAGGCGGGUAACUGGCUAGACACUGACACUCAGACCCGAAAGCGUGGGGAUCAAACA
This 405-nucleotide ribosomal RNA is filed under the name uncultured prokaryote. Its description in RNAcentral is "bacterial SSU rRNA". It matches the Rfam family "Bacterial small subunit ribosomal RNA", at positions 355 to 774 of the family's 1533-position model. The record is from RNAcentral.